UAGAACGUGGUGUANUUAGGUAGCACGAAGAAUUUUGAGUUCUUAGGGUUAGGUUCGAGUCCUAUGGUUCUAG
This 73-nucleotide transfer RNA is filed under the name Lariscus insignis (three-striped ground squirrel). RNAcentral's name for it is "tRNA-Gln". It matches the Rfam family "tRNA". From Rfam's summary of the family: Transfer RNA (tRNA) molecules are approximately 80 nucleotides in length. Their secondary structure includes four short double-helical elements and three loops (D, anti-codon, and T loops). Further hydrogen bonds mediate the characteristic L-shaped molecular structure. tRNAs have two regions of fundamental functional importance: the anti-codon, which is responsible for specific mRNA codon recognition, and the 3' end, to which the tRNAs corresponding amino acid is attached (by aminoacyl-tRNA synthetases). tRNAs cope with the degeneracy of the genetic code in two manners: having more than one tRNA (with a specific anti-codon) for a particular amino acid; and 'wobble' base-pairing, i.e. permitting non-standard base-pairing at the 3rd anti-codon position. The record is from RNAcentral. Lineage: Eukaryota; Metazoa; Chordata; Mammalia; Rodentia; Sciuridae.